CACAGCUUGUUGGGGUAAUGGGCAUAUUUGCGGUUGUAGGUGCUCACAUAGCGGCGGAAGCAGAGGGCAGCCCUCCUGUCGCACUCGCAGGUCCACCUCUGGCAGGUGGUCUUGCCGGCUGGAUGAAAUAGUCCAGGAUCUGCCCCUGACAAGGCCGAAGGUCACAUCAGGAGGGGGAUCCAGUCUCAAGCUGCCCCUCCCCACAACAUGUGGAUUGCUCCGGGUCUGUCCACUCACCACAGAAGAUGUCUUGCUGGCCGACAGAGAAAAGGUACUUUUCCAGUUUGGGUUCACAGCCCAGCUUCCCCAGACGCCCAUAGCAACAGUCAUGGGCGUGGCAGCACCUGUGGGGUCAUGGUCAACUGGAGGGGCCUGUGAACCAGGCCAGGCUGGACAGGGAAGGCUGGGGCACAGCCCAAAGGAGCUCGGAGGAGAGAGGGUCAGUUGCUGGUCUCUCGGUGCCCCCAGAUCCUUCCCCCUCCCAGGGUGCUCCUCCCAGAGGGUUCCCCUUGCUGGCCACCUCCUCACCAGUCUGUCUGGUCCACUGGCCAGUGGGACCCACCGAUGCCACAGUAGCAGCCGUAGUCAUUGUACUGCAGAGCUGACUUCCCUGUCAUCCUCUCGAUCAUCACCCCAAACUGGACCAGGUUCCCGCUGGCCAUGGCCACUGUGGAGGAGGAGGGAGCCUGUCACCCAGGGCCCACCCCUCAUGUCACUCAAAUCUGAUUCCAGACAGCUCAACAUUUGUCUAGUGAAGCUUCUCUCCCCAAAGCACCCCGUCACCAAUAACAACAAUGAUGCUAAGUAGUGACCCCUCCGGUGGCAUCCUUUGCGUCGUAAUCCUAUCGACCCCACUCCUACACGUCGGCCACACCCCCCCACCCUCCUCCACCACCCCAGGAAUAUCCCUCACUCACCCUUCUGGGGACCCCCAUUGGCUUUUCACCUCUCUCCCAAAGACCUUCAUUGUACCCCCAGCUGUUAGCUCCGGUCUCCUCCGAGAGUGUUCUGUCCCCUGAGGUCUCACAGACACCACAGGACAUGAUUCCUAACUCCCUCAAGGGACCCCCCUGAAUUCCUCCAGAUCCUCCCAAUGCAGCCAUGGCGCGGUGCCCACCGAGGCAGGUUGGAGCCAAAAAUGGAGCCAGUACAGGGAGGAGCCCGAGGUGCUGCUGGGGUCCCUGCCAACCCCUGUCCAUGCUCCCACCCCUCCUCGGGCUGCACUCUCCCCCUUACUCCCCCAUCUCCUCCAGCCACUGCUGGCUUGGGCAGAACUGGCUUAUCCCCUGGUGGCAAGAAGAGGGGGUCCCCAGUAGUUGGUACCCAUGGUGCCCUCUGGAGAACCAAGCUCAGGGGCAUCCAGCAGGCUCCCGGUUGCCAGAUAGGGGGGGCGGGAAGGGGGACUGUCACAGGUCACGAGUUCACUUACCCAGGAGGCAAAGGAAGGCCAGAAGAUGGGGAGGGUUCAUCUUGGGGGUCUCGGAAGAGGUGAGCAGGGGGCAGAGGAGCCUGAGAGUGGAAGGGAGUGAGCAGGGGCGCUCUGAAUUCAGGGCACCUCCCAGUCAGUUAAAUACCCAGUUCUGUCCACUCCCCGUCAUUAACCCCUGAGUGCCCAGUGAUGCAACGAGCCUUCAGGUCUGAGACUCUGGCCAAGUCCCCAGAGGAGGGGCCAGCUGGGCCCACAGCCCAGGAAGCAGGGGAUGUAAUGGCUCUCCCCUCUCAUGUCCUCCGUCACCUCCCCUUUCCUAGCCACUGUCCUGGUGCCCCUGGUACCCAGGGCCUGGGGCUGGGCUUUUCUUUCUUGACAUCUUUCCCUCGUCCUAUUUUAUCAAUUCGGCGACUGAGACCCAGAGAGGAGGAGAAACUCGAGCUCUCACAGCAGGAGUGCCACGUGCCACGUCUGCCCCAUUUCCACAUUCCCACUGGGUGAAUGGAGGCAAGACGCCCUCCCCAGGCCUUCCCCGCUCCCGACCUGCUACUGGGAUAACUUGACCAUCCACUUCCAUCAACGUUCAGGGCCGGGAGCUGCUGGCCCUGGCCUGGGAGUCCUGGUUCUGCCACUUAUUACGUGGCAGAUGCUUUACCUUGCUUGGAUCCUCAGUUUUCCUGUGUAGAUGACGGGGUAGAAGGCAUCCCACCCUUGCCUCCUUUGUGGGAGGACAGGAAACUCCAAUGUGACUAGGCAGUGGCCCUCAUGGAACCUUGGGCACCCUGCUGAGCCCCUCACAAGCAAGAUCAGCUGAGCCGCGCGUCCUGUGUGCUAUGACCACGACCACUCCCAUCUUACAGAGGAGGGAACCGAGGCUCAGGCCUAAGUAACUGAACCCUAGGGAUCCUAUAGACCUCUUUGAACAAAGUGGAGGAUCACCUUAUUCCUGGAAGGACUGAUUGCCCAUCCAGUCAGUAAACUACAUUGAGGACCUACUAUGUGCUGGAGAGCGAAACCAGGCCUGGUUCUCUAUUGGCUGGAGUCUUUGAAGAUUCUGGAGGUCUGGGAGCUUUCAGGCAUGGCUGGAUCAUGGCUCUGGCUCUGUUUCCUUUGCAGUUCUUCCUCUCCUGCUCCUUCUCAGGGGACUUCUUGUGUGGUUUCAAGGUGUCUGCAUGUGCCACAAGGGCCUCCUGCUUCCUCAUUCCCGUGGGGGAAAGUAGAAGAGGCAAAUCUUCCCAUGGUCAUCCCUCAAAGCCCUCAACUUUGUUUUAUAGGAACAACAUGGGCCAAUCUUUGUUGCAAAGAGGGUUCGAUGGAUUGGCUUGUCCUUUGAGGCUCACCCUUGGUUCCAGGGAAGGGGAAUAUGUCACCCAACUGCCCAGUUGCUGUGCCAUAAGGGAAGGGAGACUCCCCAAGCAAAACUCUGGAUUCUGUUAGGAGGGCAAAUAGGUGCUGCAGAAGCCAUUGGAGUGUGUUCCUCUACCCUGUGUGCCAGAACCCGGGGUAUUUCUGGAACCACCUUCAGCAUAUCCAGAAGUGCCUUUUAAAUCAGAGGUAGGAUGAGGAGAAAGGCUUGGUCUUUUGAGGUGAGGGAUGAAAAACAAAUUUAAACUAAUUCGAUAAAAUCGCAAAGCUAGAACUACCCCCAGAGAACCAUCCGGAAGACCUUCAAUAGAUUCGGGCGACUCUGGAGAUAUUCUCUCUGAGCCCCGGAAUCUUCAUCCAGGGAUAUGAAUUUUGCUGUUCCAAGUUGUUGGAGGACAUGCAACUGACAUCCAGGAAGUCACCAUACCAAGAAUGCCCCAGGAUGUCCCCUACCAGCCAGAACACAAACAAAACCAUUGAAGGAACUGGACUCCCUUACACAGAGAGAAAGGACAACCACGGGAAGAAAAACCAGCAAGGUAAGAUGUAAGAACAAACAGAACCGAAGCAAGGAGCUCAGGGGCUCUCAGAAAUCUGCAACACAAAGGAGCUGCCAGAAGUCAGAGGGAGCCGCCUGAGCAGAAGCAAACACCUUGAGUUGCCUGGAGAUGCUCAAAAUAGGUCGGAAUUAAUGGUUCCCACAUCCUUGCUCAGAGAGAAAAGACUCCAACAGGUUCAGCUUAGCAGACAUUUAUGUUUCCAACACUGUGUCGACGGACAGAUGGAAAGGCUCCCCGCUGAUCCCGGUGGGCACAGACAGGUUAAUGCAUGCGCGUCUGUAGCAGGGGUGUGGCGUAGAGCAUUUGGGGAGUCACAGAGGAGGGGACAAUUAAUUCUGCUUGGACAGCCUUCAAAGAGAGCUGUGGAGCAGCAAGCAGGGCUGUCCCCAGAGCUGGGACCCUGAAGGGUAAGUAGGGUUCAGCUGAUGGUCAGGAGGGACAUAGAACAGGAGCUGUGGGCGCUGAGGCCCAGUCCUACGAAUACCUUUCCUUUCCUCUGCAGGGCAUCCCCUGUCCCUUUGAUAUCAUCACUUAGUGUCUAUGAUCAGAGCUGCCCAUCAUAAUGAGGCACAUGACCCAGCCAGCCAAUCAGUCUUUCUCCUGGGACUCUUUUCCUCAGAAUUUGUGCUAGCUUAAGAAGAGCAGAGCCAUUUGGUCUUUGGGUCCUAAAGAGAUUAUUCAUGAGGUCUGAUGACUGAAACUUUCCAGGUCCUCAUCUUCCCAAGGCCUGGUGGAUUAACUCCUCCUUCUAUUUCAUGAGCGGUCCAGCUUUCUUUCAUCAAUUUUUUUUUUUUUUUUUUGGUUUUAGCCAGAAUAAAUUGCAAACAAAGAACGUUAAUCGAAAUGGCAGUUGGUGCCAGGAUGAGGAUUAUAGACGAUAGAUCCCGAGGGAAAGAGGGAAUCUGGGAUAGGAUUGCGGGGCAGAGAUGCUUGGGGCCUUAGUGGUGGCUGCCAUUCAGGAGGGAGGCCCCUGGAUGAGAUGGUGCUUUGACAGUAUCAGGUCAAUUAAAGAGGGAAGAACUUAACAUCUCCAGCAGUGUUCGCCAUAUGAUAUUUAAGAUUUGUUUAUUUCUUUUGUUCUUUCCUAAUGGAAUGUAAAUUCCUUGAGGGAAGGGAGCUUUCAGGCAUGGCUGGAUCAUGGCUUGCACAGAGCAGGCCCUGGUGAUGAACCAGUGCACACAUGCGUUAACAGCAAGCUCUAGCUUAGAAUUUCUAGACUAAAACCCACACAGGUCAUUGCAGAAAGGAUGGAAGGAACUUGAUCUUCAUUCUCAAAAAUCUGGGGAGGAACUGUGGAAAUCAAUGUUGAAGCUUUCUCCUCUAAGAAUAAAACUUGAGGUCAGCUUGGAUUUAUUAGCGUUGAGAUAAGAUGUUUCUUCUAGGUCUGGUUUAACAAGAGAUAGACUUUAACAUUCAUGAAAAAGCUAUGGAAGUGGAAACAAAAAGAAAACACUAAGAAUUUAACUCAGCGAGAAGCAAUUGUGGUGUCCUAAACAUGAGAAAAAUGUACCACCUUCCUUUAAAUAAGGAGGGGGGGUGUUGUGACUGAUUGCACAAAAAGCAAAGUCAAUCUAACUAUCUGCUGCUUACUUAUAAAAGCACAUAUAAAAAGCUACUCAUGGCAAGGUAUUACAUGUCGAGUAAAAGAUCUUUUGAACUUUCACAAUUGUGGGAAAUUGAGGGCUUGCUACCAUGAUUUAAAAAGCCACAGGAAUAAAGCAUUAAAGAGCUAGUGUUACUCUAUAAUGGUAAAAGAUACAUAGCAGAAAGCAAUGACCUGUGGCUGGGGACUAACUGCUCAUUUUCCAGAUAUUUAUUAUUAAACCCAUUAAUGAAGUACAAAUGGAUGGCUGCCAAGGAAGCAGAGGAUACUCAUGUCGAAGAAAUAGAAAGCAUGACCCUUAUAUACAUUCACAGAAGAGAAAAGGAAAAUGGCUGAAUAUUUUUGACCAAAAAACUUAAGCGGCUCCUCUGUCUUUACCGGAGACUCUCUUCAAGGAUUGCAAGGAUAAAGGAACUCUGCUAAAUAGUCUGUUUUGCAUUGUAGACAAGGAUGGUUAUUCUUGUGGGGAGUGUGUUCCCUGUCUCUGGCGUUUCCAUCCAACAUGUCAAACACCUGUGGGUUAACACUCCUGGUCUCCCUCCACCCAUUCCCUCAUUCCUCCCUGCG
This is a long non-coding RNA of Ictidomys tridecemlineatus (thirteen-lined ground squirrel), 5524 nucleotides long. RefSeq lists it as uncharacterized. Lineage: Eukaryota; Metazoa; Chordata; Mammalia; Rodentia; Sciuridae. The record is from RefSeq and is a predicted model, not a curated record.